RNA transcript from Solanum tuberosum (potato), 2745 nucleotides. RefSeq lists it as uncharacterized. NCBI's taxonomy places the organism in Eukaryota, Viridiplantae, Streptophyta, Magnoliopsida, Solanales, Solanaceae. The transcript has 3 exons. The record is from RefSeq and is a predicted model, not a curated record.
AGUAUAGCAGCGGCCCAAAUUGCAAUUCCGGUGUCUCUAGUUCCUAGAAGCGAAUGAAGAAUUAACAAGUGUAGUGAAGAAGACUCAAAAACAGUCUUUGGGAGUUUCGUUCUGAAGAAGAAUCAGCACCUCUACUUUGCAGCUCAUCGAUUAUUUCGUCUUCAGGUAACCUGGGACUACACAAUCGUUAGCUGAAACACUGAUGGAACUUCCUCCUACUUCAUCUUUUGGAUUGUCAUCAGAGUCCUCAGAGCAAAGUGGGAAGCUGAUGGCAAACACAAAUGCGAAAGCACUAGCAACUUUUUCCCUGCAAAGCCCAAAUUCUUCACAGGGACCAGUGGCAAUUCUUUGGGACAUUGAGAACUGUCCUGUUCCAAGUGAUGUACGGCCUGAGGAUGUGGCUGGCAACAUCAGAAUGACUCUGCGGGUCCAUCCUGUGAUCAAAGGAGCAGUUACACUGUUUUCUGCCUAUGGAGAUUUUAAUGCUUUCCCAAGACGAUUAAGGGAGGGAUGCCAGAGAACUGGUGUUAAACUUGUAGAUGUCCCCAAUGGCAGAAAGGAUGCAGCUGACAAGGCCAUCUUGGUUGACAUGUUUCUUUUUGCUCUUGACAAUCCUCCACCCUCGUCCAUUAUGCUAAUAUCAGGAGAUGUUGAUUUUGCUCCUGCACUUCACAUUCUUGGUCAACGUGGAUACACUGUGAUCCUUGUUAUUCCUUCAGGGGUUGGUGUUUCGUCUGCUCUAUGUAAUGCAGGGAGGUUUGUAUGGGACUGGCCAAGUGUCGUUCGAGGCGAAGGCUUUGUGCCUCCUGCGAAGGCCUUAAUGCCUUGUCGUGGUGGUGUCUCAGACAUUACUGGGAUUCUAAUGGGGUGUUGCCAGAUUAAUGACAACUCAGAUGGUCAGCAUGAAGAUGAAGCAAUACUGUAUAGGGGCCUCUCACAGAGCUACUAUAAUGCAAGGGAAUUCUCAAUGAUAUCACAUUCUCUGGCUGAAUAUAAUACCACUGCAAUUUCCAUGCCAUGUUAUCCUACGGGUAUGAGAACUCAUAGUCUUCCUUCUGGUUUAAAUGAAGUUUCAGCUGGAGGUCCAUCUUCACAUGACCAGAGUGACUUGACAUGGGUGCAGCCUGGGGAUAUAAAUGGUUUGAAGGGGCAGCUGGUGAAGUUGCUUGAAUUAUCUGGCGGCUGCUUGCCUCUUACACGUGUUCCUGCAGAAUACCAGAAAAUUUAUGGGAGGCCUCUUUAUGUUUCAGAAUAUGGUGCAGCUAAGCUCGUGAAUCUUCUCAAGAAGAUGAGUGAUGCAAUUUCAGUCGGGGGGAAAGGCCAAAAGAAGUUUGUCUACCUCCGUAAUUCAUGUGCUGUACCAAGUGCUCCCCCCAUAACUAUAUUAAAAAGAGAUAACAAAGGAAAAGGAACACAAGAGGGAAAUGCCGAUAUUGUGACUGGGGUUGGAUCUUCAGAUGAGUUCUCUGAUGAUGAAAGAGGACCCAUAAAAGAGCAUGGGGGGAGCUGUGAGAAAUCUAAUAUGGUUGAAAAAAGCCUUGAAAAUUUCAAGUAUGAACUUCAAGAGAUACUUGUUAGCUACUCUUGCCGGAUUUUUCUUGGUUGUUUUGACGCAAUAUAUCAACAAAGGUACAAGAGGCAAUUAGACUACAAGAUCUUUGGAGUGGUUGAACUUGAGCAGCUACUAGCGAAGGUGAAAGAUGUAGUGAUUGUGCAAGAGGAGCCCGUUAGUAAGAGGAAGUUUCUGGCUGCUGUUGGUGCCUAGAAGUGUUUAUCGUUUAUUUAUUGACUAUUUACUAUCUUAACUUCCUCGGGACUUAUGCUGAGCUUAAGCCUUGUCGCAUUGGAGGGAUGUUGAAGUUAGAGAAGGCCCUGUCUCCUUGCAAAAGCUCCCACAAUGGUGUCAAUUAUGGCAGUACAGUCUUGCAAUAGUCGAAUCAUUUUUGUCACUUCUUUCAAUUUGUUUAUGGUUUGUGUACCAAUUUGAAGCGCUCCUGCAGAAGUCUGAUGGCAAAGAUAAUAAACUUCUGAUUGGAUAAUAAGAGAUAAAGGAUAUGGUCCCAGGUGAUUGGUAGCCUUAUUUUACUGUUAUCCGAAAUGAACUUUAAGUGCAAGUUGGGCAGCCAUAAAGGAUUGAAUCUGGCGUGUGAACAUCUAAGUUGGUGGAGAUAUGCACAACAAGCAUGGCUAUGAAAAGACUUAGUUGGGUCUCAGCAGCAAUAGCAUAUGGUCGUAGGGUACAUAUGAUCAUGUCAUAUACAGUAACUUGAACAAUCGGUCAAGGACUUGAGUCAUAUAAACAUGCGCUUUGAUGUUGCUCCUUGAGGUGUAAAGUUUGUCAUGAAACUCCAACUGUUUUCAUCCUUUGGAUUGUUUCAUUCCCUGCAGAAAAUGGUGGCAAUAGUUUAAUCACAUACUUUGGAUAAUUAAGCUAGAUGAGGGGUAGGAGCACUUGCUCCAUGUAACAGAUGCUUUUACCACAUGCAGAAGCAUCACAGAAGAGGGUUCUGAAUUCCCAAAGGUUCUGUUUUUUCAAGGGAUAUUGUCCAACAGCUUCUGUUGCUGUUUGUUAAUGUUAAGCUUGGAGCUAUUUGUUUGCUUCUGCGUGGAACAUUUGUUCUGUAAGGCAGAUUAUGCUGUAUAAUUGACUGGAAGGAUUGCUGUACAUCUCUUGCAGAUGUUCAUUUGUCAGCAAAUUGUCAUAUGGUCUGUAUUUCUUGAAUAUUAAUUAAAUUGGUUUCUUGA